GAGAGAAGCAGGGAGGAGUGUAAAAAUGAAUUUAACGUCCGGCUCAUUCCCAGAUUGGCUACAGCUCUGCUUCUUGCCCAAGACAGUAACAGAGCAGCCCAUUUGGAGCAUCUGGUUUCUUGGCAGAGAGAGAAACAAGAUCUUGUAAACCAUGAGCAGUCUUUCAAAACUUCUGUUUCAGGAGAACACACAUCAUUUCCAUCUAGUUUCUUUAGAAAAAUUACACCCAGCAAGACUGCUUCUCCUGCCUCC
This 252-nucleotide long non-coding RNA is filed under the name Homo sapiens (human). RNAcentral describes it as "HSALNT0369314". The record is from RNAcentral. Lineage: Eukaryota; Metazoa; Chordata; Mammalia; Primates; Hominidae.